CAAAAGCCCCCCGCUUACACCGAGAAGUUAUCUGUUCAACCCAGAUCAUUUUGA
This 54-nucleotide transfer RNA is filed under the name Odorrana bacboensis (Tonkin frog). RNAcentral describes it as "tRNA-Val". Lineage: Eukaryota; Metazoa; Chordata; Amphibia; Anura; Ranidae. The record is from RNAcentral.